GUUUGGUAGGGCAAGAGGGCAGGUGGGUGCAAUGUUUCUUCUUUUGAUGUGUUCUUGUCUUCACCUCAGGGACCUGGACGCCCUGCCUGUUGAGGCAAGGUUGUGGAUGUCCCGGGCCUUAUGGUCCCUGCUUCGCAUGAUGUGGGGCAGCAUCCAUCUGAACGCUCAUCACUACCAAGGCCAAGGUUUUGAAAGGAAGUCCUUCUUCUCCCAUCUUAGUAUUAGACCAUCGGAUUUGGGACACGGGACUAAGGCCGCUGACUCUGCAUCCCUUACAAUCAUACACAGCUGCCUGCCCUUUUGCCUUGUGGCCAUCCUGGAGCGGCCUUCUGCAAGAUUCUAUGUUACCUGUCCUCGGUCCACUUGGAAUCUCUUGAGAGAGCCGAGUCCUGUGUGUUCCUAGGCCCUGCCACAGGGACCUGGACGCCCUGCCUGUUGAGGCAAGGUUGUGGAUGUGCCGGGCCUUAUGGUCCCUGCUUCGCAUGAUGUGGGGCAGUAUCCAUCUGAACGCUCAUCACUACCAAGGCCAAGGUUUUGGAAGGAAGUCCUUCUUCUCCCAUCUUAGUAUUAGACUAUCGUAUUUGGGACACGGGACUAAGGCCGCUAACUCUGCAUCCCUUACAAGCAUACACAGCUGCCUGCCCUUUUGCCUUGUGUCCAUCCUGGAGCGGCCUUCUGCAAGAUUCUAUGUUACCUGUCCUCGGUCCACUUGGAAUCUCUUGAGAGAGCCGAGUCCUGUGUGUUCCUAGGCCCUGCCACAGGUAGGUGGGUAUCCACAGAGGAUACAGAGAGUUCCAUGCCUGACAGGGUCUUGGGGAAGUUAGAGAAAGGAAAGAGAAGUUUCCUGAGU
Peromyscus eremicus (cactus mouse) is the source of this 850-nucleotide long non-coding RNA. RefSeq lists it as uncharacterized. The transcript has 4 exons. NCBI's taxonomy places the organism in Eukaryota, Metazoa, Chordata, Mammalia, Rodentia, Cricetidae. The record is from RefSeq and is a predicted model, not a curated record.